RNAcentral lists this ribosomal RNA (909 nucleotides) under Botrytis cinerea. RNAcentral describes it as "LSU rRNA". It matches the Rfam family "Eukaryotic large subunit ribosomal RNA", at positions 38 to 966 of the family's 3401-position model. Lineage: Eukaryota; Fungi; Ascomycota; Leotiomycetes; Helotiales; Sclerotiniaceae. The record is from RNAcentral.
GCAUAUCAAUAAGCGGAGGAAAAGAAACCAACAGGGAUUACCUCAGUAACGGCGAGUGAAGCGGUAAAAGCUCAAAUUUGAAAUCUGGCUCUUUUAGAGUCCGAAUUGUAAUUUGUAGAAGAUGCUUCGGGUGUGGUUCCGGUCUAAGUUCCUUGGAACAGGACGUCAUAGAGGGUGAGAAUCCCGUAUGUGACUGGAUACCUAUGCUCAUGUGAAGCUCUUUCGACGAGUCGAGUUGUUUGGGAAUGCAGCUCAAAAUGGGAGGUAUAUUUCUUCUAAAGCUAAAUAUUGGCCAGAGACCGAUAGCGCACAAGUAGAGUGAUCGAAAGAUGAAAAGCACUUUGGAAAGAGAGUUAAACAGUACGUGAAAUUGUUGAAAGGGAAGCGCUUGCAAUCAGACUUGCACUUGGUGUUCAUCAGGGUCUCGUACCCUGUGUACUUCAUCAAGUUCAGGCCAGCAUCAGUUUGAGUGGUUAGAUAAAGGCUUAGAGAAUGUGGCCCUCUUCGGGGGGUGUUAUAGCUCUAGGUGCAAUGUAGCCUACUUGGACUGAGGACCGCGCUUCGGCUAGGAUGCUGGCGUAAUGGUUGUAAGCGACCCGUCUUGAAACACGGACCAAGGAGUGUACCUAAUAUGCGAGUGUUUGGGUGUUAAACCCAUACGCGUAAUGAAAGUGAACGCUGGUGAGAACCCUUAAGGGUGCAUCAUCGACCGAUCUUGAUGUCUUCGGAUGGAUUUGAGUAAGAGCAUAUUGGGUGCGACCCGAAAGAUGGUGAUCUAUACGUGAAUAGGGUGAAGCCAGAGGAAACUCUGGUGGAGGCUCGCAGCGGUUCUGACGUGCAAAUCGAUCGUCAAAUUUGCGUAUAGGGGCGAAAGACUAAUCGAAUCAUCUAGUAGCUGGUUCUGCGAAG